Macaca mulatta (Rhesus monkey) is the source of this 1857-nucleotide long non-coding RNA. The record is from Ensembl. Lineage: Eukaryota; Metazoa; Chordata; Mammalia; Primates; Cercopithecidae.
GUGACCUAAAGCAACAGCCAUUUUAUUGCAUUUCAUUCCUCUGUGGGUCAGAAAUCUGAGCAGGGCUUUGCUGGGUAGUCCCUUUAUUCCAAGUAGGGUCGACGGAGGUCACUGAAAGGGAUUCAGAUGGUGGAUGGGUUGGUCUGGAGGAUUCAAUUAAAACAAAACAAAACAGUGGAAUCCAACAGGGAAUACUGGAAGGUAGGGCUCAGCUGGUACCAUGACCAGAGGAUGACCAGAGGCCACACACAAGUGGCCUUUCUAGUAUGGCAGUCUCAAGUUAGCUGAACUUUUUACAUGGCAGCAUGGGGCUAGCAGAGAGAAUAUUCCAAGAGACCCCAGUGGAAAAUGCACGGUUCCUUAUGGCUCAACUUAGAAAAUCCUAGACUAUCACUUCUUCCAUAUUCUAUAGUUAAGUAAGCCACUGAGGCCAACUCCUUCAAGAGUAAGGAACAAGAGUACUUCUCAAUGGGAAGAGAGCAAAGAACAUGUGGCCAACUUUAAUCUACAUACACCUAGACCAACCGAUGGAGCGCCUGGGACUCAACAACUAUUCUUAGACUUUCUACAUCAACAAUCUUGGAACACUUAAGGCUGGAUGGACAAUAUUUACUUCUGCAAUGUGUUCUGGUCUUCUACCAAUGGAAAAUCAAAUUCCCAGCUUUGAGCAGUUGGAUUCCUGUGGUAUGUGGCUGCCCCACAUCUUCUUCUGCUAAGCCAUUAUAACCAAAAAGUCUUUUUUUUUUGGCGGGGGGUUGGGGGGAUGGAGUCUCAUUCUGUCACCCAGGCUGGAGUGCAGUGGCCCGAUCUCAGCUCACUGCAACCUCCACCUCCCAGGUUGAAGCGAUUCUCGGGCGUCAGCCUCCCAAGUAGCUGGGAUUACAGGCGCCCGCCACAAAGCCAGGCUAAUUUUUGUAUUUUUUUGUGGAGAUGGGGUUUCAUCAGAUGUUGGCCAGGCUGGUCUUGAACUUCUGACCUCAGGUGAUCUGCCUGCCUCGGCCUCCCAAAGUGCUGGGAUUACAGGCCUGAGGCAGGAAAAUCGCUUGAAACCAGGAGGCGGAGGUUGCAGUGAGCCGAAAUCGCGCCUCUGCACUCCAGCCUGGGCAACAGAGGGAGACUCUGUCUCAAAAAGGAAGAAAGAAGAAGAAAAAAGUACUUCUAUAACACAGUUCUCCCUCCUUGUUUCAUUUGCAGAAGAGACCAAAGGGCCAAGGCUUCUUCCCUUAGAAACAGCCAUAUGUUCUACGAUUCCGAGAUUUUUGCCUAUCCAGGGCACCAGUUUGGAGUGGGUGUAAGGUUACCCACAAAUCAAUGUGAUCGUCCAGUUGUUACUGUUCCUUUUGUUUCACGAGACGUUCGCUCAUUAGAUGAGGUGACUGAUAGCUCUGACUUUUUUAAGACCACACGCACUCUAGGUGGCUGCCCUAAGUACAGUCGCGGCAGCUGGGAUUUCCUGUUUAUAUGGUGCCCAGCACCAUCAGCUUUUGUCUUCUGCUGCAGCUAAAGUGUCUUCCUCCUGGACCAGGGAGAGGGGGAGGGGGUGCGGACAGGACCCGCCUGCUGACGGUGACACCUCCUCGACAUCAUGUCCACUCCAGUCCUCAGCUCCCGGAGCUGCGCGGGAUCCCUCUUCCCGCUCAGCUGGGAGAUGCCCCGGGAGGGCGUCCCCCGGCUCCGGGCUGCGAGGGUAGCAGCCGACCCCGAUCCACUCCGGGGAUAGCCCGGGGCCGCGUGAAGGCAGGUGUUCCGGGGAGAAACGAGGAAGUAAGGCGCGGUCAGGGGCCGGCGGCGCUCGGCUGGGGGCCGCAGUUGGCUCCCCCGGGAACUCUGGGCAGGCGGCCUCUCCCGCUUGUGGGG